UACGUAGGGUGCAAGCGUUAAUCGGAAUUACUGGGCGUAAAGCGUGCGCAGGCGGCUUUGCAAGACAGAUGUGAAAUCCCCGGGCUCAACCUGGGAACUGCAUUUGUGACUGCAAGGCUAGAGUACGGUAGAGGGGGAUGGAAUUCCGCGUGUAGCAGUGAAAUGCGCAGAUAUCAGGAGGAACACCGGUGGCGAAGGCGGAUCUCUGGGCCUUGCCUGACGCUGAGGCGCGAAAGCUAGGGGAGCGAACAGG
RNAcentral lists this ribosomal RNA (253 nucleotides) under uncultured bacterium. RNAcentral describes it as "partial 16S ribosomal RNA". It matches the Rfam family "Bacterial small subunit ribosomal RNA", at positions 524 to 776 of the family's 1533-position model. The record is from RNAcentral.